This 2998-nucleotide long non-coding RNA is filed under the name Canis lupus familiaris (dog). Its description in RNAcentral is "lncRNA (ENSCAFG00000052385.1)". Lineage: Eukaryota; Metazoa; Chordata; Mammalia; Carnivora; Canidae. The record is from RNAcentral.
UCCCACAGUUUGUUUACCCACUCACCUGUUGAAGGACAUCUUAGUCAUUUCUAGUUUUUGGCUAUUGUGAAUGGAGCUGCUAUAGACAUUUGUAUAUAGGUUGUUGUGUGAAAGUAAGUUUUCGUUUGUCCUUAAUUAAAUGCCCAGAAGUGCUGGGUCAUGUGAUAAUUGCAUGUUUGGUUUCCUAAGAAACUGACAGACCUUUUUCCAGUGUGACUGCACCAUUUUAUUUUACAUUUCCACCAGUAACGUGAAUGAUGCAGGUGCUCUGCAUCCUUGCCAGCAGUUGAUGUUGUCACUAUUGUUUUGUUUCAGUCAUUCUGAUAAUUAUGUUAAUGAUUUUGUGGUUUAAUUUUAUUUCCCUAAUGGCUAGUAAUAUUGAACUUUUUUUUUUUUUUUUUUGUCAUCUGUGUAUCUUCUUCAGUGAAGUGUUUUUUCACUUGGAUUGCUUGUUUUUUUACUGUUGAGUUUUGAGAGUUCUUUAUAUAUUCCAGAAAUAAAGCAAGAAGUAUGUGCUAGUACUUGUUGGAUAUGUGGUUUGCACAUAUUUUAUCCUACUCUAUAGCUGGUCUUUUCAUCCUUUUAAUAGGAUCUUUUGUAGAGAUUUUUUUGAAAUUUGAUGAAAUCUAAUGUAUCCAUUUUUUCUCUUAAUGACUAAUGCAUUUUAUGUUAGGUCUAAGAACUCUUUGCCUAACCCUAAGUCCUAAAAAUUUUCUCUCUCACUUGUUUCUAAACUUUAUUUUAUGCUUACAUUUUGACAUUUUUACAUAAUUUCACUUUUAUGUCUGUGAUCAAUUUUGGGUUUAUAAAUUGUGAUACCUAGGUUGAAUUUCAUUUUUCCCUUAUGGAUGUCCAGUUGCUCUACCACUGUUUCUUGAAAAAGCCAUCUUUCCUCUAUUGAAUUGCUUGUGCACUUUUUUAAAAGAAAUAAGUUGAACAUAUUCGUAUAGGUCUAUUUCUGGGUUCUUCAUUCUGUUUCAUUGAUCUAUGUGUAUAUUCCUCUUCCAAUAACACACGGUCUUGAUUGUUGUAACUACGUAAUAAGACAUGAAAUUGGGUAGACCUAGUCCUUCCAUGCUAUUCUCCUUUUUCAAACUGGUUUUCUUAUUAUAGAUCCUUUACCUUUUCAUAUAAAUUUUUAAAUAAUUUUGUCUAUAUCUUAAAAAAAUCUGCUGGAACUUGAGUAUGAACUGCUUUAAACCUGUAUAUCAACUUGGGGAGAGCUGACCUCUUUCCUCUGCUGAAUCUUCUAAUCCGUGAACUUGGUAUUUGUCCUCAUUUGUUUAGAUCCGCUUUGAUUUCUUUCAUCAGCAUUUUGUGGGUUUCAACAUGGAAGUCCUAUGCAUGUUUUAUUAAUGCUUAUUUAUUUUUAAUUUUCUCUAUGUGUUUCUUUCUGGAUAGUUUUUACUGCUAUGACUUCAAGUUCACUACAUUUUUAAAAAAGGUAUUUUUAAAAAAUAUCUACUCCUAAUUCUGUCCAAUGACUUUUUAUUGUACAUUACAGUUCUCAUCUCUGGAAGUUUGAUUUAGAUCAUUUCUAUAUUUUCCAUGUCUCUACUUAAUUUUAUAAUCUGUGAUGUGGUUAUAAUAACUUUUAUUUUUUUUUAUUUUUUUAUUUUAUUUAUUUUUUAUUUAUUUUUGUUAUAAUAACUUAAAUGCCAUUGUCUCCAAAUUCUGUAGGGACAAUUUCAGCAGUUUGCUAGGAUUCAUUUUUAAUUUCUUAGAUUAUGAGUUACUAGUCCAGUAGGUAGUAUUAAUUUUAAACUCUGUGCUCAGGGGCAUCUGGGUGGCUCAGUGUUGAAUGCCUGCCUUUGGCUCAGGUCAUGAUCCUGGGAUCCUAGGAUCGAGUCCCACAUCAGGCUCCCUUUGGGGAGCCUGCUUCUCUCUCUGCCUCUCUCUCUCUGUGUCUCUCAUGAAUAAAUAAAUUUAAAAAAUAUUUUUUAAAAAACAAUAAAAAAUAAGGGAUUCCUGGAUGGCUCAGCGGUUUAGUGCGUGCCUUUGGCCCAGGGCGUUAUCCUAGAGUCCCGGGAUCGAGUUCCGCAUCAGCUUCCCUGCAUGGAGCCUGCUUCUCCCUCUGCUUGUGUCUCUGCCUCUUUCUCUGUGUCUCUCAUGAAUAAAUAAAUGAAAUCUAAAAAUAUAUAUAUAAAUAAUUUAAAAAUAAACUGUGCUCAGUAAUACAGACUAUGAUUAUAAAUUCUUAGGGGACAUCCCCACUAUCACUCCAAAACCUAGGCAAGGACUAUAACCUUUGUUAUCUCUCUUUGCUAGUGGGAAGAUUUUUUUUUUUUUUUCUAAUUUUUACUUUCAUGAGUCCAGGCAUUUGGUUGGUUGUGGUGUGUGUGUGUGUGUGUGUGUGUGUGUGUAGCCCCAGUUCCUCCUUGCGUCAUGUGGCUUCCUGAAUAUUAUAAUUCAACCUCUGCAGAUAUCAAGAUCUUCAAAUUUCUACUAUUUCUGGUCGUGUUGGCCAAAGCAGUGAGGGCAGCUAAACUCUGGUUUUAGUUUCUUGUUCAGUUUUGGUACCUGGGUAUAUUUUCCUGUGAGCUAAAAUGAUGUUUUAAAUUAUAUCUUAUCCUAAAUUUCUAGAUAACUAGUUUAUAUCAUUCACUAUAUUGCCUUAAAUGAAACACUGCCUAGAGAUAUUUUUGGUCUCAAAAUCAUUGCUAUAGUAAUAUAGUUAAUGCUAUUAUUCCUUUAACACUUGUCUGGUAUAUCCAUUCUUUAACUUUCAGUCCUUUUGCAUUUUUAUGUUUUGGUAGUACCUAAUAAAUAUAUAACAUUUUUUCCCUAGAUGAACGUUAGGAUCAUUUCACGAGUUCCAAAACAAAUCCUGUUAUUGGGAUGCCUGGGUGGCUCAGUGGUUGAGUGUCUGCCUUCAGCUCAGGGCAUGAUCCCCCGGGGGUCCUGGGAUCGAGUUCCGUAUCGGGCUCCUUGCAUGGAGCCUGCUUCUAUCUCUGCCUCUCUCUCUGCCUCUCUCUCUGCCUCUCAUGAAUAAAUAAAA